Colobus angolensis palliatus is the source of this 75-nucleotide microRNA precursor. NCBI's taxonomy places the organism in Eukaryota, Metazoa, Chordata, Mammalia, Primates, Cercopithecidae. The record is from Ensembl.
UUAGGUUGGUGCAAAAGUAAUUGUGGUUUCUGUCAUUGAAAGUAAUGGCAGAAACCACAAUUUCUUUUACACCAA